This 1338-nucleotide long non-coding RNA is filed under the name Homo sapiens (human). RNAcentral's name for it is "HSALNT0209660". Lineage: Eukaryota; Metazoa; Chordata; Mammalia; Primates; Hominidae. The record is from RNAcentral.
UGUGGGCAGGCUGGGGGGUGGGGCGCCAAGUCAUCCGAGCGCGGCUUCUGCUUCUCCCUUUCCCUCACAGGCAUGCUCUACGGAGGGUAUGGGAGGCGAGGGCGCGUCUAUGAGGGCCAGAGUCCGCGAAGAGAGUCCGGCCCUUAGGCCUUUGGUGUUGAAGAAUCUGCUCCUCUGUCGGGUCAAGCCCCACUAGAAGUUAACACCUGUGGUCUCCAAACUUGCCUAUUUUCCUGUCACGCAGUUCAAGCCAAGAUUCAACUCGUCUUGAAUUUUUGUAUUUAGAGCCCCUACCUUCUCCACCGACUCCAGGGGCGCCCUCUGGCGGGAAGGGGCCUGGGGUAGGAGGGAACCUGAGGGAGCGGGUUACAAAGCAGAGAACAGCGGGAGCUCAGCAGCUCCCUUUGAAUUGCGAGGAAACCAAGACGGAGACGGGAGGUAGGAGCACGGGCCUGAAGCGGUCAGCCGACCCUGUGAGGCCCGCGCUGCCGUGCUACGCCGCGAAUCCGCCAGACGCCCCCGUCGGAAGGGGCAGGGACACCCUCGGGGGCGCUCUAGGGUUCGUGCUGCGCUAAGGGUGAAGAGGAAAAGUAAAACCAGCAGCAAGAAGACUGUAGAGAUCCAGCUGUGAGAAGACAGCGGCCCAUUCACUACAGUGGCUCUGGGUUCUGGCCUCUGGACUCAUGACUGGACCAAGCCCUCCAGGAAUCACUUUGUCUCCCCUCUCUCAUUCCCUGAUGAAGACAAGUCUCUGUGAGGUUGGUCAGUUUGUUAUAGUUGUGUAUCAGUCAUGUUUUUUUUUCUGCAUUUUAUGAUGCUUUGACAACUUGGGACCUGCCCCUCCCAGGGUUAAUUAAUUUCUGAGAUAGCAAACAACUUGCCUGUGAGCAUGCCUUUCGUAUGCAAACUAACUAGUCCAGAACUCUUACUUCAAACCAUCUCUAGCUGGUUUUUACACUUCAGAAGGCAAUAUUCCUCUGCUCUAAUCAUUCCAGGGCCAUGCAGUGGACAACUGAGGACCACCCCAAUAGCCCAGAGCCCAUAGAAAUUAUUCAAACCAUCCAAUCCUACCCCUGCUUUGCUCCUUACCCUUUCUCUCCCAUCCUUUCCCAUGACAACCACAAUCAAGGCUUCUGCCCGUGCUUUCCCUUUUCUCUUUCUGCCUCUCCUCUGACCCACAUUUCGAAAUCUAUGUGUCCCUGUGUGGUACUGCAAGCUCCCUCCUCCUGAGAACUGUGAGAAACAGACUACCUUUUCAGUGGCAACUGUCUCCUCAUGUGUUGGCCUCACCAUACCUGAAUAAAAACAAUAUCCCAGGUGCAUUUCCAAACAAGUGCA